This 597-nucleotide ribosomal RNA is filed under the name Triticum aestivum (bread wheat). RNAcentral describes it as "partial small subunit ribosomal RNA". The record is from RNAcentral. Lineage: Eukaryota; Viridiplantae; Streptophyta; Magnoliopsida; Poales; Poaceae.
AUGACGUCUCCUGACCAACAUAGUGCAGGACUGCAGGGAGCUGAUCCCUUGAAACAUCCAUCUGAGCUACUGUCGGCCGAAAUAAAGCCUAAUUCUACCACUGGAAAAGAGAAUAUGGAGUUACCGAAUAAUCUGAACACCACGACAAAGAAGAGUACAGUUAUGAUUAUGAUGAUUAUGUUGACGAUACCACGUGGGGAGACGAGGAUUGUACAGAAACAAGAGCAUGAGAAAGCGGAAGAUUAUGUGCACAUAUAUGCUCACAUAUUGUCGACCCCAGUAAUUGCAGACAUUGACAAUGACGUAAUGAACCGAAGAACUUUCAGCCACAACAUGAGCACUUCAUUAUAUCUUGCCUGUGUUACCGUGGUGGCGUACCUUUUGCAGUCUAGAAGCUAUGAUAACGCACAGCAUUUAAAAGAGCUAGGAGGGACAGACCUCGAUUUGAGUAUCGGAGACAGGAGCUUCUGUGCCCAUGCAAAUUCAUCUCCAACUGUGGUUGAUUUGGAUGGUGAUGGAAAUUCGGACAUCCUUAUUGGAACUUCCUAUGGCUUGCUAAGUUCUGCUGUUGACGAAUUAGAUGACCAGAACUGUUGA